This 445-nucleotide ribosomal RNA is filed under the name uncultured Prevotella sp. RNAcentral's name for it is "bacterial SSU rRNA". It matches the Rfam family "Bacterial small subunit ribosomal RNA", at positions 354 to 794 of the family's 1533-position model. Lineage: Bacteria; Pseudomonadati; Bacteroidota; Bacteroidia; Bacteroidales; Prevotellaceae. The record is from RNAcentral.
UGAGGGAAUAUUGGGUCAAUGGACGCAAGUCUGAACCAGCCAAGUAGCGUGCAGGAUGACGGCCCUAUGGGUUGUAAACUGCUUUUAUGCGGGGAUAAAGUGAGGGACGUGUCCCUUUUUGUAGGUACCGCAUGAAUAAGGACCGGCUAAUUCCGUGCCAGCAGCCGCGGUAAUACGGAAGGUCCGGGCGUUAUCCGGAUUUAUUGGGUUUAAAGGGUGCGCAGGCGGCGCGAAAAGUCAGCGGUCAAAGUUCCGGGCUCAACCCGGUGACGCCGUUGAAACUUUCGGGCUGGAGUUCGUGCGAGGGAGGCGGAAUGCGUUGUGUAGCGGUGGAAAUGCAUAGAUAUGACGCAGAACCCCCGAUUGCGAAGGCAGCUUUCCAGCACGCGACUGACGCUGAGGCACGAAAGCGUGGGGAGCGAACAGGAUUAGAUACCCUGGUAGU